AUUGAACGCUGGCGGCAUGCUUUACACAUGCAAGUCGAACGGUAACAGGCCUUCGGGUGCUGACGAGUGGCGAACGGGUGAGUAAUGCAUCGGAACGUGCCCAAUCGUGGGGGAUAACGUAGCGAAAGUUACGCUAAUACCGCAUAAGCCCUGAGGGGGAAAGUGGGGGACCGCAAGGCCUCACGCGAAUGGAGCGGCCGAUGUCAGAUUAGCUAGUUGGUGGGGUAAAGCCCACCAAGGCGACGAUCUGUAGCGGGUCUGAGAGGAUGAUCCGCCACGCUGGGACUGAGACACGGCCCAGACUCCUACGGGAGGCAGCAGUGGGGAAUAUUGGACAAUGGGCGCAAGCCUGAUCCAGCAAUGCCGCGUGUGUGAAGAAGGCCUGCGGGUUGUAAAGCACUUUCAGUGGGAAGGAACAG
This 419-nucleotide ribosomal RNA is filed under the name uncultured bacterium. RNAcentral describes it as "bacterial SSU rRNA". It matches the Rfam family "Bacterial small subunit ribosomal RNA", at positions 29 to 452 of the family's 1533-position model. The record is from RNAcentral.